GUUUUAAAAAAAUACCUACCUGCAUUCCAAUCUGUUGUUACCAGCACGGGAGUCUCUCACAGUAAGGGUUUUUGCUGACUGGUGGCUGGCACAAAGGAGUGAAGAUGGGCAGGAAGGGAAGAAUGAGAGAGUCUACUGGAAGGAGGAUGCCUGCUUAGACCAUGAUCAUCCUGGCUCCUGUCCGACAAGAAGAAUAUGCUUUAAUGGAGGUCCAAGUUCAAUGCUUUCACCAAUGAACCUACGAUGUUUGGCACCCAGUAAUGCAGAUGACGCUGAUCCUACUGGAGAAACGUUUGGUCCCAUCCAGGGUAGGUGUUGGUAGAGGUGAGGAGAUCCUAGCAAAGCUUCAGAUCUUUCACAUCUGAGCAUAAUGAACAAUGCUGAGUCCAAGUUACACUGCCAUGGACGUCAUCCUGAUGCUGCCCCCUCAGGGAGUGUCAACAGCUCAUAGCCUAAGACUCAAACAGGAAAGGCAAAGAAAGCAGUUAAUAAGUACGUCGAGUGUACAGCAUCUGAUUAUUUUCUCCAAAUAACCUCACAUUUGCAGUAGAAAAAAUAAUCACUGUUACUUCUAAUAAAGGUCUCACCAUAUUAUUUUAAUCAUCAACACUUGAACACAAUUAUAAUUGCAUUGAAAAGUGAUACCUAUUUUGUUAUGGCAUUAGAAUUCAUGUAAGGGGCAGCAACACAAAUACAGAAAUUGGCAAUUACUAAAGUAGGAAAGCAUUAGCUUCCUAUUCUCUUAGAUGUUUCAUUAUGCACAUCGCCUAUACAUUCAGAAAGGACUUAAGUCAAUUUGUCUGAAUUUCAAAUAUUUUUGUACAGCUGUUUUAUGAGAAAAUAAAUUCCAAUCCUCCAUACUUUUAAAUUGUUUUAGC
This 878-nucleotide long non-coding RNA is filed under the name Cricetulus griseus (Chinese hamster). Its description in RNAcentral is "lncRNA (ENSCGRG00015030673.1)". Lineage: Eukaryota; Metazoa; Chordata; Mammalia; Rodentia; Cricetidae. The record is from RNAcentral.